RNAcentral lists this ribosomal RNA (497 nucleotides) under uncultured bacterium. RNAcentral describes it as "partial 16S ribosomal RNA". It matches the Rfam family "Bacterial small subunit ribosomal RNA", at positions 35 to 507 of the family's 1533-position model. The record is from RNAcentral.
GGGGGGGGGGGGGGGGGGGGCGGGGGGGGGCGGGGCGGGCGGGCGGGCGGGGGGCUUGCGGCGCUGAUGUUAGCGGCGGGCGGGGGAGUAACACGUGGAUACCCUACCUAUAAGACUGGGAUAACUUCGGGAAACCGUAGCUAAUACCGGAUAAUAUUUUGAACCGCAUGGUUCAAAAGUGAAAGACGGUCUUGCUGUCACUGAUAGAUGGAUCCGCGCUGCAUUAGCUAGUUGGUAAGGUAACGGCUUACCAAGGCAACGAUGCAUAGCCGACCUGAGAGGGUGAUCGGCCACACUGGAACUGAGACACGGUCCAGACUCCUACGGGAGGCAGCAGUAGGGAAUCUUCCGCAAUGGGCGAAAGCCUGACGGAGCAACGCCGCGUGAGUGAUGAAGGUCUUCGGAUCGUAAAACUCUGUUAUUAGGGAAGAACAUAUGUGUAAGUAACUGUGCACAUCGUGACGGUACCUAAUCAGAAAGCCACGGCUAACUACGUG